UACGGAGGGUGCAAGCGUUAUCCGGAUUUAUUGGGUUUAAAGGGUCCGUAGGCGGACCUAUAAGUCAGUGGUGAAAUCCUGCAGCUCAACUGUAGAACUGCCAUUGAUACUGUAGGUCUUGAAUUCGGUUGAAGUGGGCGGAAUAUGGCAUGUAGCGGUGAAAUGCUUAGAUAUGCCAUAGAACACCGAUUGCGUAGGCAGCUCACUAAGCCUGGAUUGACGCUGAGGGACGAAAGCGUGGGUAGCGAACAGG
This 253-nucleotide ribosomal RNA is filed under the name uncultured bacterium. Its description in RNAcentral is "partial 16S ribosomal RNA". It matches the Rfam family "Bacterial small subunit ribosomal RNA", at positions 524 to 776 of the family's 1533-position model. The record is from RNAcentral.